This 472-nucleotide ribosomal RNA is filed under the name uncultured bacterium. Its description in RNAcentral is "SSU rRNA". It matches the Rfam family "Bacterial small subunit ribosomal RNA", at positions 26 to 518 of the family's 1533-position model. The record is from RNAcentral.
AGAACGAACGCUGGCGGCAUGCCUAACACAUGCAAGUCGAACGCUUCACCGGUUUCGGCCGGUGGGGAGUGGCGCACGGGUGAGUAGCGCGUGGGAACCUGCCCUGUUGUGGGGGAUAACCGAGGGAAACUUCGGCUAAUACCGCAUAAGCCGGUUGUCUUGAGAGAGAUGGCCGGGAAAGAUUUAUCGCGACAGGAGGGGCCCGCGUCGGAUUAGGUAGUUGGUGGGGUAACGGCCCACCAAGCCUUUGAUCCGUAGCUGGUCUGAGAGGAUGAUCAGCCACACUGGGACUGAGACACGGCCCAGACUCCUACGGGAGGCAGCAGUGGGGAAUAUUGGACAAUGGGCGCAAGCCUGAUCCAGCAAUGCCGCGUGAGUGAUGAAGGCCUUAGGGUUGUAAAGCUCUUUCGCCCGCGACGAUGAUGACGGUAGCGGGAGAAGAAGCCCCGGCUAACUUCGUGCCAGCAGCCGC